Molecule: small RNA, 191 nt
Filed under: Dichanthelium oligosanthes
Lineage: Eukaryota; Viridiplantae; Streptophyta; Magnoliopsida; Poales; Poaceae
Description: Early nodulin 40
Rfam family: Early nodulin 40
Source: Rfam by way of RNAcentral
AUGGAAGAUGCAUGGCUUGAGCAUCUACAUGGUUCUUGAGAAGCAGAAUGAGGAUGGAGAGUGAAGGCUGAGCUCCUCCUCAAGAAGUAUUCAGUUCCGUGGUGCCUUUCCUGACCUCCCUGGUGGUCAGCUGAGGUAUGCACAAACCGGCAAGUCACAAGACGGCAAUGGCAGACUCCAUUAGGAGUCCU